CGACCUGAGCUCAGGCAAGGUUACCCGCUGAACUUAAGCAUAUCAUUAAGCGGUGGAAAAGAAACUAACCAGGAUUCCCCUAGUAACGGCGAGCGAACCGGGAAUAGCCCAACUUGAAAAUCUCCCCUUGGAGAAUUGUAGUCUACAGAAGCGCCCUCAUGGGCUGGCGGAACUCAAGUCGGAUCGAAUGCCGCGUCAGAGAGGGUGAUAACCCCGUCGGUUCCUGCCUAGUCCUCUCACGAGGUGCUUUCCACGAGUCGGGUUGUUUGGGAAUGCAGCCCUAAUUUGGAGGUAAUCCCUUCUAAGGCUA
Molecule: non-coding RNA, 310 nt
Filed under: Volvox carteri f. nagariensis
Lineage: Eukaryota; Viridiplantae; Chlorophyta; Chlorophyceae; Chlamydomonadales; Volvocaceae
Description: Eukaryotic large subunit ribosomal RNA
Rfam family: Eukaryotic large subunit ribosomal RNA
Source: Rfam by way of RNAcentral